ACUCAAAUGAAUUGACGGGGACCCGCACAACCGGUGGAGCGUGUGGUUCAAUUUGAUACGAAGCAAAAAACCUUACCAGGGUUUGACAUGUAAUCGUUUUAUGCCUAUGGAAACACUGGCAGAUCCGUAAGGAUGAUUACACAGGUGCUGCAUGGCUGUCGUCAGCUCGUGCCGUGAGGUGUUCCCUUAAGUGGGGAAACGAGCGCAACCCGCGUACAAUGUUAAAUUUUUCAUUGUGGACAGCUCCUGUUUUACAGGAGAGGAAGGAGCGGAAGACGUCAAGUCAGCAUGGUCCUUACACCCUGGGAUACACACACCCUACAAUGGCGAAAAACAACGAGCCGCAAGCCGGCAACGGCAAGCAAAUCUCUUAAAUUUCGCCUCAGUUCAGAUUGGGGUCUGCAACCCGACCCCAUGAAGUCGGAAUCGGUAGUAAUCGCGGAUCAGCAGGCCGCGGUGAAUACGUUCUCGGGUCUUGUACACACCGCCCGU
This 492-nucleotide ribosomal RNA is filed under the name uncultured bacterium. Its description in RNAcentral is "partial 16S ribosomal RNA". It matches the Rfam family "Bacterial small subunit ribosomal RNA", at positions 899 to 1397 of the family's 1533-position model. The record is from RNAcentral.